ACGAACGCUGGCGGCGUGCCUAAUACAUGCAAGUCGAACGAGUCCUCCCAAUUUGAUUUUAUGCUUGCAUAAAUGAUUUUUGGAUUCGGGACGAGUGGCGAACUGGUGAGUAACACGUGGGUAACCUGCCCUAAAGCAGGGGAUAACAUUUGGAAACAGAUGCUAAUACCGUAUAAUUAGUUGGAACCACAUGGUUCCAACUUGAAAGAUGGCUCUGCUAUCACUUUAGGAUGGACCCGCGGCGUAUUAGCUAGUUGGUGAGAUAAAAGCUCACCAAGGCGAUGAUACGUAGCCGACCUGAGAGGGUAAUCGGCCACAUUGGGACUGAGACACGGCCCAGACUCCUACGGGAGGCAGCAGUAGGGAAUCUUCCACAAUGGACGAAAGUCUGAUGGAGCAACGCCGCGUGAGUGAAGAAGGGUUUCGGCUCGUAAAACUCUGUUGUUAAAGAAGAACAAGUGUAAGAGUAACUGUUUACGCUUUGACGGUAUUUAACCAGAAAGCCACGGCUAACUACGUGCCAGCAGCCGCGGUAAUACGUAGGUGGCAAGCGUUGUCCGGAUUUAUUGGGCGUAAAGCGAGCGCAGGUGGUCUUUUAAGUCUGUUGUGAAAGCCCUCAGCUCAACUGAGGAAGUGCAGCGGAAACUAGGAGACUUGAGUACAGAAGAGGAUAGUGGAAACUCCAUGUGUAGCGGUGAAAUGCGUAGAUAUAUGGAAGAACACCAGUGGCGAAGGCGGCUAUCUGGUCUGUUACUGACACUGAGGCUCGAAAGCAUGGGUAGCGAACAGGAUUAGAUACCCUGGUAGUCCAUGCCGUAAACGAUGAAUACUAGGUGUUGGAGGGUUUCCGCCCUUCAGUGCCGCAGCUAACGCAUUAAGUAUUCCGCCUGGGGAGUACGACCGCAAGGUUGAAACUCAAAGGAAUUGACGGGGGCCCGCACAAGUGGUGGAGCAUGUGGUUUAAUUCGAUGCUACGCGAAGAACCUUACCAGGUCUUGACAUCUUCUGCCAACCUAAGAGAUUAGGCGUUCCCUUCGGGGACAGAAUGACAGGUGGUGCAUGGUUGUCGUCAGCUCGUGUCGUGAGAUGUUGGGUUAAGUCCCGCAACGAGCGCAACCCUUAUUAUUAGUUGCCAGCAUUAAGUUGGGCACUCUAGUGAGACUGCCGGUGAUAAACCGGAGGAAGGUGGGGAUGACGUCAAAUCAUCAUGCCCCUUAUGACCUGGGCUACACACGUGCUACAAUGGAUGGUACAACGAGUCGCGAAACCGCGAGGUCAAGCUAAUCUCUUAAAGCCAUUCUCAGUUCGGAUUGCAGGCUGCAACUCGCCUGCAUGAAGUUGGAAUCACUAGUAAUCGUGGAUCAGCAUGCCACGGUGAAUACGUUCCCGGGCCUUGUACUCACCGCCCGUCAAGGG
RNAcentral lists this ribosomal RNA (1416 nucleotides) under uncultured Bacilli bacterium. RNAcentral's name for it is "bacterial SSU rRNA". It matches the Rfam family "Bacterial small subunit ribosomal RNA", at positions 29 to 1403 of the family's 1533-position model. Lineage: Bacteria; Bacillati; Bacillota; Bacilli. The record is from RNAcentral.